RNAcentral lists this transfer RNA (75 nucleotides) under Vicinamibacteria bacterium. Its description in RNAcentral is "tRNA-Lys". It matches the Rfam family "tRNA". From Rfam's summary of the family: Transfer RNA (tRNA) molecules are approximately 80 nucleotides in length. Their secondary structure includes four short double-helical elements and three loops (D, anti-codon, and T loops). The record is from RNAcentral. Lineage: Bacteria; Pseudomonadati; Acidobacteriota; Vicinamibacteria.
GGCCCGCUAGCUCAAUGGUAGAGCAGAAGACUCUUAAUCUUUUGGUUGGAGGUUCGAGUCCUCCGCGGGUCACCA